Molecule: long non-coding RNA, 1064 nt
Organism: Canis lupus familiaris (dog)
Lineage: Eukaryota; Metazoa; Chordata; Mammalia; Carnivora; Canidae
Exons: 3
Source: RefSeq, a predicted model, not a curated record
UUUUAAGAACCUGUUUGAAAAUAAAUCACGAAAUAACCUUAUCUCCAUGAAAGGAACCAGAUUUAUAGCAUUCAUCUCUUUUCUCAAGGCAAAGUAUAAUCAAACUACUUUGUGUUAUUGUAAACUUCUGAACACAGAUGUAAAUCUUGUUUAUCUUUAUAUGUUGUAACUUACAGUGUUGUAGAGCGAUGUCAAGGUAUUGCUUUACAUUUUUUCCCCUUCCCAAGCAAAUCAAACCAAGUCAAAAGAAAAACGUAAAAAAAUAAAAACAGUAGUAGUAUAGGUUCUGAGAUUUUUAUCAAUUAGUACAGAAACUUUUUUUUUUUUAAUUUUUAAAUUUUUAUUUAUUUAUGAUAGUCACAGAGAGAGAGAGAGAGAGGCAGAGACACAGGCAGAGGGAGAAGCAGGCUCCAUGCACCGGGAGCCCGACGUGGGAUUCGAUCCCGGGUCUCCAGGAUCGUGCCCCGGGCCAAAGGCAGGCACCAAACCGCUGCGCCACCCAGGGAUCCCUAGUACAGAAACUUUAAUGGAAGUAAUUUUUCAUGAGAAACACUGGGCGAAGAAAAAUGUAACACAUUUUAUUAUCUUCCAGCCUUCAGCAUUGAGGAGACUGUGCAUAUAGGUUAUGCUUAGAAUUUAAACAGGAGAUGGGCUUCAUCUGAUUCUGGCAUCAUGUGGACUAUGGUGGUAAGGGGCAAGAAGUGAUGAAAGAGGGACAACUGUUCUAUAUAUACUAUUGACAUUAACUGGUGAGUGUCCUUUUUUGGCCAUCUGUAUGACCUACUAUGUCUUUAGGAGACUUCUUUUUUUUAAUAUGUAUUUUGCCUCUUCCUAGCUCCUCUUACUCAUAAUGUGCUCUAAAUGUGACUCGUCAGUGUUUAGUACUUUGUAAGUUUUUUCUUUACACCACCUCCCCAAGAAAAAAUUUUCAUGUAUCCUUCUAUCUAGUUCUUUCUGUUUCUUAAGCUACUAAAUGUUUGGUCAUUUUUAUAUCACUGCUUACAGAUUAAAAUACCAUUGUCAAAUUGUAAGCUUUCAACAAAUUAAAGAUUGAAACUAGGAAU